UUCUUCUUUCCUGCUCCAUUUUCAGCUCCGCUCUGAGGAACAAGGACAUGAACAGAUCAGACAUAUAACUCGGCACAGAGAGAGGGAAACCUGAACCCCCAUAGCCCAGCCCCCUGGUAUACAGAGGGGGCUUUGCAGUGGUACCUGCACCUGCUGCUAUCCACCCCCCCCCCCCCCCUCGUGAGGAACAGCCCCCAUGGAGCCCUGCUACAGACUAGCCACUCAACAUCUACCAAACACAAUACCGGAAACAAUAGCAACAUGCCACCCGGUGCCAGCUAAGCCAUGCAGGUUUCCAGGCCGGGGAUGGGCUCAGGCUUCGGGACCAGGCCCAGACACGGGGGCACUGAC
This is a long non-coding RNA of Esox lucius (northern pike), 351 nucleotides long. RefSeq lists it as uncharacterized. Lineage: Eukaryota; Metazoa; Chordata; Actinopteri; Esociformes; Esocidae. The record is from RefSeq and is a predicted model, not a curated record. The transcript has 3 exons.